This 977-nucleotide long non-coding RNA is filed under the name Capsicum annuum. RNAcentral's name for it is "long non-coding RNA (CANN_LNC007474)". The record is from RNAcentral. Lineage: Eukaryota; Viridiplantae; Streptophyta; Magnoliopsida; Solanales; Solanaceae.
AGCAAAGUUGAAAGAAAAAAGAAGAGGGAUUCACGUCACAAUAACUUGGGGGACCACGGAGAGUAAAAAUCUCCAUCCUCUUACAUUAUUUUUCCAUAUACGCAGCUUCUUUUCCACAAAAACAGGGACCUCCGUACGACCAUCUUCCAUAUUCACACAGAAACUCACCCUCACUCUCAACAACAGUCACACACACGUAUGCUUGGAGGUUGAGAGAGAGCAUAGAAAGGGAAUUCGUAAGAGAGGGAAUUAGGAGAGGGAAAUCUAUACUGAGCGAGAGGGAGAGAGAUCGAGAAAAGAAGAGAAAAAGGGGCAAAGUGGACUGUUUUCACUGGAAAUCCAGCAAAAGUUCCCCGGAUUAGCCACCAGAAAAGAAUCUGGAUUGUUGUUGUUGUUGUUUCCAGCGAUUUAACGUCGGGAACGUCGCUGGUCGCCCGAAGUCAUCCAAAACUGAUCGCUUCUGCUAAAACUCACCUACAAUUCCAAAGAUCCACCCAAAACUUCUCUUUUUCCUUGUCGCUGGAUCUCACCGAAACUCUGGCGAUACAAAAACGACAUCCCAGUUUCAAUUCCGGCGAGGCUUGAUUAAGUUAUGUCAAAAAUCCGCAAUCUAAAAUUCUUCUAUUGGUUUCUGAUCUGUUUGGUUAGCGAUUCUCGAUACCGAGUUGAGUUCGUCGGCUGGGGUUCAACGUUGUGGUUCCAUUUGAACACGGUUCUAUUCGAAAAGAUCAAUUAAUUGAAAUAAAGCAUCAAAUUGAGGUCCAAUUUUACUUUCUUUCUCGUUUUAUCUCAUUAUUUAUGAUAUUUGUUGCAUUGAAUAAAAUAUUGUGUGUUAUUUGAUCCUUGUUGGUGGUGUAGAGUCGCUUUGUGCUGAUUCAUUGUUGCUCCUCUGAUUAUGGAUUAUGGUGAAAUGGUACCUCGUUUGAGAAUUGAAAUUGGUUAUUUGGGACAGAAUUGAAAAAUUGAUAAAAAGGGUG